Molecule: long non-coding RNA, 209 nt
Filed under: Capsicum annuum
Lineage: Eukaryota; Viridiplantae; Streptophyta; Magnoliopsida; Solanales; Solanaceae
Description: long non-coding RNA (CANN_LNC005464)
Source: RNAcentral
AAAGGUAUUGAAAAUGAUUAAGUGUAGGGACUUUAAAGGUGACUUGGUAGAUUGAAAGUGGUUAUGCUUGGUGACUUGGUAGGUUGAAAAUGAUUAAGUGUAGGGACUUUAAAGGUAUUUUUUAUUUUGGAUGUGGUUGAAAAUGAUUAAGUGUAGGGACUUUAAAGGUGACUUGGUAGGUUGAAAAUGGUUAUGCUUGGUGACUUGGU